AAGACAUAUAUAAGGCUCAGAUUGUUCAACAAUUAAUAUCAUAAUCGGUCUACUACAAACAUUUAACCGUCAAACUGUUUGAAAUAUUUGCAACGGCCCAAACAUCUGGACUACGUGCACCCACACAUAAAAGCCACCGAAUGGUUGCCUACAUAGUAGGCCAUCCAAAUUCUACAUACCUUUCAUUCUUAUAAUAUAAAUGCAUCAAUAGAGCAUUCACAAUCUAUAUACCAGCAGACCAGUGCACAUCAUAUUGUCGAUUCCUUUCGCCAAGUAAAAAAAGUAAUGGCCUGUCAUACACAACCACUUUUCUAUUUCAUCACAUCACAGAGUGUCAAAUUCUUGUAUAUCAUCAUCGCCUUAUUUUAAAAAAAACAUAACGAAUGAAAUAGAAACUGUAAAAUCAUAAAAGCAUACAAUAACGAAUAAAACCCAAACCAUCAACCCAUAUAAACACCCAAAGGCCAUUUUCUGUACAACAGAACCAUAAAAAUCUGCAGAACAAA
This 506-nucleotide long non-coding RNA is filed under the name Ananas comosus (pineapple). RNAcentral's name for it is "long non-coding RNA (ACOM_LNC028276)". Lineage: Eukaryota; Viridiplantae; Streptophyta; Magnoliopsida; Poales; Bromeliaceae. The record is from RNAcentral.